GACGAACGCUGGCGGCGUGCUUAACACAUGCAAGUCGAACGGAAAGGCCCUGCUUUUGUGGGGUGCUCGAGUGGCGAACGGGUGAGUAACACGUGAGUAACCUGCCCUUGACUUUGGGAUAACUUCAGGAAACUGGGGCUAAUACCGGAUAGGAGCUCCUGCUGCAUGGUGGGGGUUGGAAAGUUUCGGCGGUUGGGGAUGGACUCGCGGCUUAUCAGCUUGUUGGUGGGGUAGUGGCUUACCAAGGCUUUGACGGGUAGCCGGCCUGAGAGGGUGACCGGCCACAUUGGCACUGAGAUACGGCCAAGACUCCUACGGGAGGAAGCAGUGGGGAAUAUUGCACAAUGGGCGGAAGCCUGAUGCAGCAACGCCGCGUGCGGGAUGACGGCCUUCGGGUUGUAAACCGCUUUCGCCUGUGACGAAGCGUGAGUGACGGUAAUGGGUAAAGAAGCACCGGCUAACUACGU
RNAcentral lists this ribosomal RNA (467 nucleotides) under uncultured bacterium. RNAcentral describes it as "partial 16S ribosomal RNA". It matches the Rfam family "Bacterial small subunit ribosomal RNA", at positions 28 to 506 of the family's 1533-position model. The record is from RNAcentral.